GAUGAACGCUGGCGGCGUGCCUAAUACAUGCAAGUCGAGCGAACGGACGAGAAGCUUGCUUCUCUGAUGUUAGCGGCGGACAGGUGAGUAACACGUGGAUAACCUACCUAUAAGACUGGGAUAACUUCGGGAAACCGGAGCUAAUACCGGAUAAUAUUUUGAACCUCAUGGUUCAAAAGUGAAAGACGGUCUUGCUGUCACUUAUAGAUGGAUCCGCGCUGCAUUAGCUAGUUGGUAAGGUAACGGCUUACCAAGGCAACGAUGCAUAGCCGACCUGAGAGGGUGUCCGGCCACACUGGAACUGAGAGACGGUCCUGACUCCUACGGGAGGCAGCAGUUGGGAAUCUUCCGCAAUGGGCGAAAGCCUGACGGAGCAACGCCGCGUGAGUGAUGAAGGUCUUCGGAUCGUAAAACUCUGUUAUUAGGGAAGAACAUAUGUGUAAGUAAGUGUGCACAUCUUGACGGUACCUAAUCAGAAAGCCACGGCUAACUACGUG
RNAcentral lists this ribosomal RNA (497 nucleotides) under uncultured bacterium. Its description in RNAcentral is "partial 16S ribosomal RNA". It matches the Rfam family "Bacterial small subunit ribosomal RNA", at positions 28 to 507 of the family's 1533-position model. The record is from RNAcentral.